UACGGGGGGGGUAAGCGUUGUUCGGAAUUACUGGGCGUAAAGGGCUCGUAGGCGGCCAACUAAGUCAGACGUGAAAUCCCUCAGCUUAACUGGGGAACUGCGUCUGAUACUGGAUGGCUUGGAUUUGGGAGAGGGAUGCGGAAUUCCAGGUGUAGCGGUGAAAUGCGUAGAUAUCUGGAGGAACACCGGUGGCGAAGGCGGCAUCCUGGACCAAUACUGACGCUGAGGAGCGAAAGCUAGGGGAGCAAACGGG
RNAcentral lists this ribosomal RNA (253 nucleotides) under uncultured bacterium. RNAcentral's name for it is "partial 16S ribosomal RNA". It matches the Rfam family "Bacterial small subunit ribosomal RNA", at positions 524 to 776 of the family's 1533-position model. The record is from RNAcentral.